UAAAGCAAUUAGCAGAAGAGAACUCAAGAAAUCAUCCAGGAUGAUACUGUCAUUUGAGUGAUGAAGAAACUGAAGUCCAGACAGCAGAAGGAACUUGGCAAAAAUGACAUUGCCAAUCCGUUCUCUGGACUUCCAGUGGUUCCCAUUGGUCUGGCCUGAUCCUUCUAAAAGCCAGAGGGCAAGAGAGCCCAUUGAUGCCAUCCCUACAGGUUUUGAAGUAUGGGAUUCAUCACCAUUCCACCUGACUAUCAACUAUCCACCAGGCACAUGCGACUAAUUUGAUUUCCAAACAAUGUUUCCUGAAUCAGCAUGGAAUGCAGUGACAGUGAGCAGAGUGAGCACCCAGCCAACCAGAGAUUGACGGACACUGGGAGUACUCCGUGGAACCAAACAGACAAAUAAGCAAGAGGCAUGCUUCCUGCUCUCACUAAGCCUAUGGACUAAUACACGGGAAACAACACCUGUCAAAGAAUCAGCAAAUAAACGGAUGGUCUCAACUGCAACAAACAUUACCAAGAAUGUUAUAUUAUGGGAGGAACUGCCCUAUCUGGAAACUUCUCUGUAAA
This is a long non-coding RNA of Suricata suricatta (meerkat), 566 nucleotides long. RefSeq lists it as uncharacterized. The record is from RefSeq and is a predicted model, not a curated record. NCBI's taxonomy places the organism in Eukaryota, Metazoa, Chordata, Mammalia, Carnivora, Herpestidae. The transcript is spliced from 5 exons.